GACGAACGCUGGCGGCGUGCUUAACACAUGCAAGUCGAGCGGUAAGGCCCUUUCGGGGGUACACGAGCGGCGAACGGGUGAGUAACACGUGGGUGACCUGCCCUCAGCUCUGGGAUAAGCCUGGGAAACCGGGUCUAAUACCGGAUAUGACUCCAUGACGCAUGUUGUGGGGUGGAAAGCCUUGUGCGGCUGAGGAUGGGCCCGCGGCCUAUCAGCUUGUUGGUGGGGUGAUGGCCUACCAAGGCGACGACGGGUAGCCGGCCUGAGAGGGCGACCGGCCACACUGGGACUGAGACACGGCCCAGACUCCUACGGGAGGGCAGCAGUGGGGAAGUCUUGCGCAAUGGGCGAAAGCCUGACGCAGCGACGCCGCGUGAGGGAUGACGGCCUCGGUU
Molecule: ribosomal RNA, 395 nt
Filed under: uncultured bacterium
Lineage: Bacteria
Description: bacterial SSU rRNA
Rfam family: Bacterial small subunit ribosomal RNA
Source: RNAcentral